GUAAUCAAGCUUCUCGUACAUCUUUAUAGCUGGUGUGUUUGAUGCUCUCACAAACAAGUCCACAAAGUAAGCCUUAUCGAUCUUAUCACUGACUUCUUCCAGCAGGUACAUCAAUUUCUUGGCUAAUUGCUGCCUCCGAUAUUCAGGAGCCACAGUUACUGCAGUAACGUGACCAUGCCAAGAUUCACCUUGCCCUUCAACUUUUCCCAUAAUGUAUCCCAUGAUGUGGCCGCCGGGAGCUUUUGCAACAUGGAAAUAAUCCGGCCAUCUUGCCAUGUAAGUCAUAUAAAAUGACAUGUUGAAAGUUUCAGUAAGAUGAUCCAAAUUCACUGACGCGAAGCGAAGCAAGUCAUUGCAGCUGAAUCUACGAAUCGUCGUCAUGCUUUCUCUCUCUUCUUCGUCUCUUUCUCUCUCUACG
This 418-nucleotide unclassified non-coding RNA is filed under the name Hevea brasiliensis (rubber tree). The record is from RNAcentral. Lineage: Eukaryota; Viridiplantae; Streptophyta; Magnoliopsida; Malpighiales; Euphorbiaceae.